CUGUAAACUCUAUUGCUGUUUCUAAGAAAAAAUCCAAUGCCACCAUGGCUAAGGCUGUACUGCUGAUAUGUUUCUCCAUUCUUCUGGCCGCAUGCAUAGUCCAGUGUGCUCCCAAAAAAACCGCUCAAGACGGGGUGCUUGGACUGCGCUUUCGGAAUAUGUAGCGACGGACAACACCAGAUAUGCGACACGACACUGGAGCGUUGUGUUUGCCCGCCCGCCCGGUCCCCGGCCGAGGGCGGUCGACGUGAUAAGCGAGCGCAUCGGGGAACAGCGUCAGGGGAAGAAGUGACCGGAAAACCCCGGGGCAGCGGUUGCUAUGACUGUGGCUAUGUCAUGUGCAACAACGGCCGCAUGCGCUGCGACCAUGCGCGCGAUGAAUGUGUCUGCCCUCCUGGCGGAUAUCCCAUGUAACUGGCUUGGCUCGUUAAAGUGUCCCGUGGACUGCGCGUGGCCACCCUUCGUAUUUUCGCUGACAACGUCAAUAAUCUUCUUCCGCGGCAAAUUAUAUAGCUGCACUUGCAAGCGACAAUAUUUUUGAAAAAUUAUUCAUGAUGGUUAUACGGUGUUUGGUUUGAUGCCGGUGGCUAUUUUCUGUCUUUGUUAUCGCUCGCGAUUGGUCGUAUAAAUCGCGGGCGCAAUUUUCACUGAUACCAUU
Paramacrobiotus metropolitanus is the source of this 658-nucleotide long non-coding RNA. RefSeq lists it as uncharacterized. The transcript has 3 exons. The record is from RefSeq and is a predicted model, not a curated record. Lineage: Eukaryota; Metazoa; Tardigrada; Eutardigrada; Parachela; Macrobiotidae.